GGAGAAACCGCCCCGCACCGCCCGCCGGUCGUGUGCGUCGGUUGACUCCGCCGGGUCCCCCCUUGGUGGCAGAGGCGGGAUGCUGCGGGAGGGGAAAGCCGUGGUGGGGCGUGCGGGUACGGCGGUGAAGCCCUGUGCCGUUCGGCGUCGUUCGGGCUCGGGCUGCAUUGGCAAGAGUAUCGCCCUUGGACUGGAGCAAAACCAUCCAAGCCCAUAAAGACAAAGCAAGGCUUCAUUAUCCCAGAUGACCAUUUUGUCCAGGAGACAAGUUACAAGGCGGACUAUAAGAUCCCGGAGGUGAAGACCAGGUUCUCCCCCAACCCUUCUGCUGUUUUCCAGGCGCCGUCGCGGAUCCUCAACGUGUGACGCCGGGCCCUCCUCGCGCCGGGCAGCGCCACAGCGGUGCUUCCGACCGGACGUGUCACUAUGCAAUCUUCAGGAGGAGCGCUGGGAUCAGAGAACCGAUGUCAGCAGGAGCAGCUCCUGGGGCUGGGCGCUCUCCUUCUGCGAUUGUGCAGAUUGUGAAGCGCUCCAUUCAGAGCCAGCAAACACGCUCCGCUGUGCGCAGCGGCAGGGAGAAGUCACAAACAGGAGCGAGAACUGAUAGCAAACCCCCGGAGCAGCACGGAGCAGGGAGCACCUGCCUGACUUGUCAGCUUGCAGAGCUGCCUCCUGCACGCACCUCAGCACCAGAGCUCAGCACGGGAGGGCUGCUCUGCUCCGGACCCACAGGGUUGCUGGAGCCGCUGGCAGCUCCGCAGCGGCUGCGUUGGGGGGCUGUGUGUGCAGAGCGGUGAGCGCACGCUGCGCUUCGGAGGGUGUAGAAUACUGGUGGGUUGGAUGUAAAUAUUGCACCCGGAUUUUACCUAAAGCAGUUUGUGAUCCUUUAAGGAAGAGGACGUGCUUCUACUUUUAAUAAAUGUUAACUCUUUGCAUACGCAAGGUGGAAAGUGUUGCCUUGAAAUGCCUACGUUUCUGCCUGCCUAUCGGUGAUGUUAAUGUUAGUGGCUAGGAGCAACCAGAAGUGAAUGUUACUUAGAAACUCUUCUUAAAGAAAAACAUUAACAUGGAAUGUAUGACACCCCUCAUUGCUAA
Molecule: long non-coding RNA, 1095 nt
Filed under: Gallus gallus (chicken)
Lineage: Eukaryota; Metazoa; Chordata; Aves; Galliformes; Phasianidae
Description: long non-coding RNA NONGGAT009152
Source: RNAcentral